This 295-nucleotide ribosomal RNA is filed under the name uncultured bacterium. RNAcentral describes it as "partial 16S ribosomal RNA". It matches the Rfam family "Bacterial small subunit ribosomal RNA", at positions 335 to 627 of the family's 1533-position model. The record is from RNAcentral.
GUCCCUACGGGACGCAGCAGUGAGGAAUAUUGGUCAAUGGGCGGGAGCCUGAACCAGCCAAGUCGCGUGAGGGAAGACAGUCCUAUGGAUUGUAAACCUCUUUAGGCGGGGAGCAAUGCCGGGCACGCGUGCCCGGAGGGAGAGUACCCGCAGAAUAAGCAUCGGCUAACUCCGUGCCAGCAGCCGCGGUAAUACGGAGGAUGCGAGCUUUAUCCGGAUUUAUUGGGUUUUAAGGGUGCGUCGGCGGAUUUUUAAGUCAGCGGUAAGAUGUCCGGGCUCAACCCGCGCCGGCCGU